This 895-nucleotide ribosomal RNA is filed under the name uncultured bacterium. RNAcentral describes it as "bacterial SSU rRNA". It matches the Rfam family "Bacterial small subunit ribosomal RNA", at positions 505 to 1397 of the family's 1533-position model. The record is from RNAcentral.
GUGCCAGCAGCCGCGGUAAUACGGAGGAUGCGAGCGUUAUCCGGAUUCAUUGGGUUUAAAGGGUGCGCGGGCGGCGCUCCAAGUCAGCGGUCAAAUCCGCGGGCUCAACCCGCGGCCGCCGUUGAUACUGGAGUGCUUGAGUAGGUGCGACGGAUGCGGAAUGCGUGGUGUAGCGGUGAAAUGCAUAGAUAUCACGCAGAACCCCGAUUGCGAAGGCAGCGUCCGAGCACCCGACUGACGCUGAGGCACGAAAGCGUGGGUAUCGAACAGGAUUAGAUACCCUGGUAGUCCACGCGGUAAACGAUGAAUACUGGUUAUCCGUGCCGUAUAAGGUAUGGGUGACUCAAGCGAAAGCAUUAAGUAUUCCACCUGGGGAGUACGCCGGCAACGGUGAAACUCAAAGGAAUUGACGGGGGCCCGCACAAGCGGAGGAACAUGUGGUUUAAUUCGAUGAUACGCGAGGAACCUUACCCGGGCUCAAACGCAGAGAGACGUUGUCGGAAACGGCAAUUCCCUUCGGGGCUGUCUGCGAGGUGCUGCAUGGUUGUCGUCAGCUCGUGCCGUGAGGUGUCGGCUUAAGUGCCAUAACGAGCGCAACCCCCAUCUCCAGUUGCCACCGCGUUUAUGGCGGGCACUCUGGAGAGACUGCCGGCGCAAGCUGUGAGGAAGGCGGGGAUGACGUCAAAUCAGCACGGCCCUUACGUCCGGGGCGACACACGUGUUACAAUGGCGGGGUACAGAAGGAAGCCAGGCGGCGACGCCGAGCCGAUCCCGAAAACCCGUCUCAGUUCGGAUCGGAGUCUGCAACCCGACUCCGUGAAGCUGGAUUCGCUAGUAAUCGCGCAUCAGCCAUGGCGCGGUGAAUACGUUCCCGGGCCUUGUACACACCGCCCGU